UGAGCGCAGCAGCGGCUUCAUCUUGAAGAAGAGCUUCAUCCAGGACCAGUUCUUGACAGCGUUGAAGGCACGGAUAUUCCACUGGAUGGUGAGCUGGACAAAGAGGUCCAGGGACCAACGGGGCUGCCUCCAGGGCAAGGGUUCCCAAGCCCUAACUGUCCCCGCAGCCCUUGCAAGUGUCCUGAAGACCCUAGGAAUGGAUCCUGCUAUGCUCUGCGCCCUGGGGCCGGACUACACAGGGCUCACACCCCACAUUAGUCACCCUGCCCCCCUGCCAACCCGCUGUGAUGGGGUCUCCGCCUCAUAUGGUGGCCCUCCUGGGGCUGGAGAUCAUCACAGCACCCACCUCAGGGGACUGUCGCACACCUUAACCAAGAAUAUGCAAAUAAAGCCUCUGCCUGGGGCUGGCACUUCUA
Molecule: long non-coding RNA, 416 nt
Organism: Neogale vison (American mink)
Lineage: Eukaryota; Metazoa; Chordata; Mammalia; Carnivora; Mustelidae
Exons: 2
Source: RefSeq, a predicted model, not a curated record